RNAcentral lists this ribosomal RNA (97 nucleotides) under Escherichia coli 7-233-03_S3_C3. Lineage: Bacteria; Pseudomonadati; Pseudomonadota; Gammaproteobacteria; Enterobacterales; Enterobacteriaceae. The record is from RNAcentral. RNAcentral also lists the same sequence under 2 other names.
GGUCCCACCUGACCCCAUGCCGAACUCAGAAGUGAAACGCCGUAGCGCCGAUGGUAGUGUGGGGUCUCCUCAUGCGAGAGUAGGGAACUGCCAGGCA